GCGGCCGUAGUCUAGCAGGUAGGACGCCGGCCUGCCACGCCGGAGAUCCCGGGUUCGAAUCCCGGCGGCCGCACCA
This 76-nucleotide transfer RNA is filed under the name Thermofilum sp. RNAcentral describes it as "tRNA-Gly". It matches the Rfam family "tRNA". Rfam says of the family: Transfer RNA (tRNA) molecules are approximately 80 nucleotides in length. Their secondary structure includes four short double-helical elements and three loops (D, anti-codon, and T loops). The record is from RNAcentral. Lineage: Archaea; Thermoproteati; Thermoproteota; Thermoprotei; Thermofilales; Thermofilaceae.